RNAcentral lists this small RNA (70 nucleotides) under Saccharolobus islandicus HVE10/4. Its description in RNAcentral is "Sulfolobus islandicus HVE10/4 non-coding RNA". The record is from RNAcentral. Lineage: Archaea; Thermoproteati; Thermoproteota; Thermoprotei; Sulfolobales; Sulfolobaceae. RNAcentral also lists the same sequence under 1 other name.
AGAUGAUAGGUAAAAACAAAAUUGAUGAGGAAGAGAGAAGGAGAAGAGAAGAAGUUAAAAGGUUAGUAAU